Molecule: ribosomal RNA, 870 nt
Filed under: uncultured bacterium
Lineage: Bacteria
Description: bacterial SSU rRNA
Rfam family: Bacterial small subunit ribosomal RNA
Source: RNAcentral
GCUAAUACCGAAUGUGGCUUCAAUCCUGCAUGGGAUGGAGGCUAAAGAUUUAUCGCUAGGGGAUGAGCUCGCGUCCCAUUAGGUAGUUGGUGAGGUAACGGCUCACCAAGCCGACGAUGGGUAGCUGGUCUGAGAGGAUGGUCAGCCACACUGGGACUGAGACACUGCCCAGACUCCUACGGGAGGCUGCAGUCGAGAAUCUUGGGCAAUGCGCGAAAGCGUGACCCAGCAAUGCCGCGUGUGUGAUGAAGGCCUUCGGGUCGUAAAGCACUGUCUCCCGUGACGAAAUUUGACGGUAGCGGGGAAGGAAGCCACGGCUAACUACGUGCCAGCAGCCGCGGUAAUACGUAGCCCCGCGAGCGUUGUUCGGAUUUAUUGGGCGUAAAGGGUCUGUAGGAGGUUCGUUAAAUACGAGGUGAAAUCCCGAAGCUCAACUUCGGAACUGCCUUGUAGACUGACGGACUAGAGUACCGGAGAGGUAAGCGGAAUACCAGGUGUAGCGGUGGAAUGCGUAGAUAUCUGGUAGAACACCAAUAGCGAAGGCAGCUUGCUGGACGGAAACUGACUCUGAAAGACGAAAGCAUGGGGAGCAAACAGGAUUAGAUACCCUGGUAGUCCAUGCCGUAAACGUUGUCAACUUGAUGUGGGGGGAUUUAGUCCUCUCCGUAUCGAAGCUAACGCGAUAAGUUGACCGCCUGGGGACUACGGCCGCAAGGCUAAAACUCAAAGGAAUUGACGGGGGCCCGCACAAGCGGUGGAGCAUGUGGCUUAAUUCGAGGCAACGCGAAGAACCUUACCUGGUCUUGAAAUAUAUCGGACCGCCUGUGAAAGCAGGUUUCCCUUCGGGGCUGAUAUACAGGUGCUGCAUGG